This 329-nucleotide unclassified non-coding RNA is filed under the name soil metagenome. Its description in RNAcentral is "partial contains 5.8S ribosomal RNA, internal transcribed spacer 2, and large subunit ribosomal RNA". The stretch from base 1 to 120 matches the Rfam family "5.8S ribosomal RNA", at positions 35 to 154 of the family's 154-position model. The record is from RNAcentral.
GAUGAAGAACGUAGCGAAAUGCGAUAAGUAAUGUGAAUUGCAGAAUUCAGUGAAUCAUCGAAUCUUUGAACGCACAUUGCGCCCCCUGGUAUUCCGGGGGGCAUGUCUGUCCGAGCGUCAUUACAACCCUCAAGCUCAGCUUGGUAUUGGGCCCCGCCGACCCGGCGGGCCCUAAAGUCAGUGGCGGUGCCGUCCGGCUCCGAGCGUAGUAAUUCUUCUCGCUCUGGAGGUCCGGUCGUGUGCUCGCCAGCAACCCCCAAUUUUUUUCAGGUUGACCUCGGAUCAGGUAGGGAUACCCGCUGAACUUAAGCAUAUCAAUAAGCGGAGGA